UCCUGGUUAGCUCAGUUGGUAGAGCGCUCCACCGGAAAUGGAGAGGUCCGUGGUUCGACACCAGGUCCGGCGA
Ixodes scapularis (black-legged tick) is the source of this 73-nucleotide non-coding RNA. NCBI's taxonomy places the organism in Eukaryota, Metazoa, Arthropoda, Arachnida, Ixodida, Ixodidae. The record is from Rfam.